Molecule: ribosomal RNA, 682 nt
Filed under: uncultured bacterium
Lineage: Bacteria
Description: bacterial SSU rRNA
Rfam family: Bacterial small subunit ribosomal RNA
Source: RNAcentral
AGAGUUUGAUCAUGGCUCAGAACGAACGCUGGCGGCAUGCCUAACACAUGCAAGUCGAACGAGAAAGUUUCCUUCGGGGAACUAGUAAAGUGGCGCAAGGGUGAGUAACACGUGAAUAAUCUGCCUACGAAUUCGGGAUAACUCGGCGAAAGUUGUGCUAAUACCGGAUAAGACCACACUCCUAAUGGAGCGUGGCCAAAGGAGUCUCAAACUCCGUUUGUAGAUGAGUUCGCGGACCAUUAGCUUGUUGGCGGGAUAACAGCCCACCAAGGCGACGAUGGUUAGCCGGCCUGAGAGGGCGAUCGGCCACACUGGAACUGAGACACGGUCCAGACUCCUACGGGAGGCAGCAGUGGGGAAUAUUGCGCAAUGGGCGAAAGCCUGACGCAGCAAUGCCGCGUGAGGGAUGAAGGCUUUUGAGUCGUAAACCUCUGUCGGAUGGGAAGAAUAAUGACGGUACCAUCAGAGGAAGCCCCGGCUAACUCCGUGCCAGCAGCCGCGGUAAUACGGAGGGGGCAAGCGUUGUUCGGAAUUAUUGGGCGUAAAGAGUAUGUAGGCGGCUUAUUAAGUCAGGCGUGUAAGCCCACGGCUCAACCGUGGAAUUGCGUUUGAAACUAUUAGGCUUGAGUACAGGAGAGGAAGGCGGAAUUCCCAGUGUAGCGGUGAAAUGCAUUGAUAUUGG